AUACGGAGGGUGCAAGCGUUAUUCGGAAUCACUGGGCGUAAAGGACGCGUAGGCGGGUUGGCAAGUCAGAUGUGAAAUCCUACAGCUUAACUGUAGAACUGCAUUUGAAACUGCUAACCUAGAGUAUGGGAGGGGGAGAUGGAAUUAGUGGUGUAGGGGUAAAACCCGUAGAUAUCACUAGGAAUACCGAAAGCGAAGGCGAUCUCCUGGAACAUAACUGACGCUAAGGCGUGAAAGCGUGGGGAGCAAACAGGAUUAGAAACCCCAGUAGUCC
Molecule: ribosomal RNA, 274 nt
Filed under: uncultured bacterium
Lineage: Bacteria
Description: partial 16S ribosomal RNA
Rfam family: Bacterial small subunit ribosomal RNA
Source: RNAcentral